Long non-coding RNA from Tympanuchus pallidicinctus (lesser prairie-chicken), 1388 nucleotides. RefSeq lists it as uncharacterized. The record is from RefSeq and is a predicted model, not a curated record. The transcript has 4 exons. NCBI's taxonomy places the organism in Eukaryota, Metazoa, Chordata, Aves, Galliformes, Phasianidae.
CAGCUGCCCAGGAGCUGCCCUCAUUUUAGGCUGGGUUGUAGACUGAUGUGAUUUCACAGUGUGCAAGCAGCUCCCUGGAAAACAGUCAGGUAGUCGCAAGUGCAAUGCUGGUCCACGACCUGGAGCUGUUGGAGGUGACAUCUUUCAUCAACACUCUGGUCACAGUCAGAGAAGGCAACUGAACACAUGCUCAUGGGAAUGACUUACAGCUUACAAGAAUGGAGGCUACAGGCUAUAGCUACAGUUACAGAAUACAUCAUUUCAAUUUCUGUGUGAAAUUCACGAAGUCCAACCAUUAAUAAAUAGUUUGCUUUUCUAUUUUCUGCCGCAUACCUUCAGUGAGGUCACCCAUAUGGAGAUCAACAACAACUUUUCUUGUACUGCUUUUCAUGUGGGAGAUGAAGACUAAAGCCCUGCAGAUCUACUUCAUCAGACUCCCAUCAGCCGUAACUGAAGAUGCCUGUACUUGGAGUCAGUUAAGAACUAAGACACACAUUAGCCUAAACUGGUUUCAGUGCUGAGCUUACCCUGUCUGUGUAUAUAAUUUUAUAUCACUCUGUUUGACAUUCAUAAUGGAGGGCAUGGUCAAGACAUUUCUCAGUGAUAACUUUCUGUUCUUCUUUUGUCCCAUAUAAACUUGCCUUCAACAUACAACAACUACAUGAAGUUCAGGCAUAGCCUAGCUUUCUAUCAAGAUUGCAGCUAAAUUGUCCUAUGUGAGAUUUUGAAUUGUUUAGUCCCAUGUGAAGGUUCAGAUGUGGAUGUAUGCUAGUGUGUAGGAUGGCAUUGAUUUGUGGCUACUGAUUCUCCUGUACAUAAUAAAAAACUGAGAAAGCAUUGACAUAGGAAAGAGUUUAUGUCUGUAAACAGGUUUCUAUGAUGUUCCUUGUGAUUUCUCAUGGAGAAAGAAAUGAGACCAUUAACAUUAUAAAUUUUGACUUCAUCCAGAAUGCAGGCUAGAGAUCCAGACUACCUCCGUAUCUGCUCCAUAAAAAAAGUAUGUAUAGAUAUGGAAGUAAAACAACAUAAAAUAAUUGUUUGGAUUUUUUUUGGUUUUGCUUUUUUGGAGGGGGAAGGAGAUGGUUAAUCUAGGCUAGAGGAUGAUGUCCAGAAAGAGCUAGGGAAUGAGCACAAGUAGUAGGUCUCAGAGCAGUAGCUGUUAACUUGCUUUCUGGUUUUCCUCCAGCUACCUCUCCUAGACUGUCUAAACAUGUUUGAGGUGACAAUAUACUAUAGAGUCUGUUUCCAAAGUUCAGUACCAGCAAAGCUGCAGUAAAUCUCUUUUCAUGUACAGUUCUCCGCCUCUAUCCUAAAAGCCUGUCACCAUCAAAUACUCUUGUAGGCCAUGCAAAAUUAUAACCAUGGUACUUCCAUCUCAGAUACUUUGA